RNAcentral lists this ribosomal RNA (455 nucleotides) under uncultured bacterium. RNAcentral's name for it is "bacterial SSU rRNA". It matches the Rfam family "Bacterial small subunit ribosomal RNA", at positions 20 to 476 of the family's 1533-position model. The record is from RNAcentral.
UGGCUCAGAUUGAACGCUGGCGGCAUGCCUAACACAUGCAAGUCGAACGGCAGCGCGGAGAAGCUUCGGCUUCUCUGGCGGCGAGUGGCGGACGGGUGAGUAAUGCAUGGGAAUCUGCCCUUUGGUGGGGGAUAACCCGGAGAAAUCCGGGCUAAUACCGCAUACGCCCUACGGGGGAAAGCGGGGGACCUUCGGGCCUCGCGCCGAUGGAUGAGCCCAUGUCCGAUUAGCUAGUUGGUGGGGUAAAGGCCUACCAAGGCGACGAUCGGUAGCUGGUCUGAGAGGAUGAUCAGCCACACUGGGACUGAGACACGGCCCAGACUCCUACGGGAGGCAGCAGUGGGGAAUAUUGGACAAUGGGCGCAAGCCUGAUCCAGCAAUGCCGCGUGGGUGAAGAAGGCCUGCGGGUUGUAAAGCCCUUUCGUCCGGGAAGAAAAGCCCAAGGCUAAUACCCU